This 253-nucleotide ribosomal RNA is filed under the name uncultured bacterium. RNAcentral describes it as "partial 16S ribosomal RNA". It matches the Rfam family "Bacterial small subunit ribosomal RNA", at positions 524 to 776 of the family's 1533-position model. The record is from RNAcentral.
UACGUAGGGUGCGAGCGUUAAUCGGAAUUACUGGGCGUAAAGCGUGCGCAGGCGGUGAGCUGUGUCCGAUGUGAAAGCCCCGGGCUUAACCUGGGAAUGGCAUUGGAAACUGGCGAACUGGAGUGUGGCAGAGGGGGGUGGAAUUCCGCGUGUAGCAGUGAAAUGCGUAGAGAUGCGGAGGAACACCCGUGGCGAAGGCGGUUCUCUGGGACGGUACUGACGCUGAGACGCGAAAGCGUGGGGAGCGAACAGG